AUUGAACUCUGGCGGCACGCCUAACACAUGCAAGUCGCGCGAGCGGCGGACGGGUGAGUAAUGUAUGGGGAUCUGCCUGAUGGCGGGGGAUAACUACUGGAAACGGUAGCUAAUACCGCAUACCCUCAGAUGUACCCAUAUGGGAUUAGCUAGUAGGUAAGGUAACGGCUUACCAAGGCGACGAUCCCUAGCUGGUCUGAGAGGAUGAUCAGCCACACUGGAACUGAGACACGGCCCAGACUCCUACGGGAGGCAGCAGUGGGGAAUAUUGCACAAUGGGCGCAAGCCUGAUACAGCCAUGCCGCGUGUAUGAAGAAGGCCUUCGGGUUGUAAAGUACUUUCAGUGGGGAGGCGUUACCGACAGAAGAAGCACCGGCUAACUCCGUGCCAGCAGCCGCGGUAAUAC
Molecule: ribosomal RNA, 406 nt
Filed under: uncultured bacterium
Lineage: Bacteria
Description: partial 16S ribosomal RNA
Rfam family: Bacterial small subunit ribosomal RNA
Source: RNAcentral